This 253-nucleotide ribosomal RNA is filed under the name uncultured bacterium. RNAcentral's name for it is "partial 16S ribosomal RNA". It matches the Rfam family "Bacterial small subunit ribosomal RNA", at positions 524 to 776 of the family's 1533-position model. The record is from RNAcentral. RNAcentral also lists the same sequence under 1 other name.
UACGUAGGGAGCAAGCGUUGUCCGGAUUCACUGGGUGUAAAGGGUGCGCAGGCGGGAGAGUAAGUCAGAGGUGAAAUCUCACAGCUUAACUGUGAAACUGCCUUUGAUACUGCUUUUCUUGAGUUCGGGAGAGGUUGAUGGAAUUCCAGGUGUAGCGGUGAAAUGCGUAGAUAUCUGGAAGAACACCAGUGGCGAAGGCGGUCAACUGGCCCGUAACUGACGCUCAGGCACGAAAGCGUGGGUAGCGAACAGG